RNAcentral lists this ribosomal RNA (605 nucleotides) under uncultured organism. RNAcentral's name for it is "bacterial SSU rRNA". It matches the Rfam family "Bacterial small subunit ribosomal RNA", at positions 832 to 1435 of the family's 1533-position model. The record is from RNAcentral.
CGUCAAGUUCAGCGCCGGAGCAAACGCAUUGAGUGCCCCGCUUGGGGAAUACGAUCGCAAGAUUGAAACUCAAAGGAAUUGACGGGGGCCCGCACAAUCGGUGGAGCAUGUGGUUUAAUUCGAUGCUACGCGAAGAACCUUACCUGGGCUUGAACUGCAGAGGCACGUACCCUGAAAGGGGUAUUUCCUUCGGGACUUCUGUAGAGGUGCUGCAUGGCUGUCGUCAGCUCGUGCCGUGAGGUGUUGGGUUAAGUCCCGCAACGAGCGCAACCCUUGCUCUUAGUUGCCAUCAGGUAAAGCUGGGCACUCUAAGGGGACUGUCCCGGAUAACGGGGAGGAAGGUGGGGAUGACGUCAAGUCAUCGUGGCCCUUACGUCCAGGGCUACACACGUGCUACAAUGGCCGGUACAACGGGAAGCGAGACCGUGAGGUGGAGCCAAUCCCUUAAAACCGGUUUCAGUUCAGAUUGUAGUCUGCAACUCGACUGCAUGAAGUUGGAAUCGCUAGUAAUCGCGGAUCAGCACUGCCGCGGUGAAUACGUUCCCGGGCAUUGUACACACCGCCCGUCACGCCAUGGGAGUCGAUAGCACCCGAAGCCGGUGCCC